AGUGCGAAUGAAUUAUACAAAUGCGUUGAGCUGUAUGUGGACAUUCAUCAACACGUACGCUUCCAGUACACACACACACACACACACACACACACACACACACACACACACACACACACACACACACACACACACACACACACACACGCGCCCAUUCUCCCCUGCGGAUCUCGGUGUGAAAGGCUCCCAGGCUCAAUUCUAAUUUCAUCUCCGAUCUCUUUUUCAGCAUUGAUCAUCAUACACCCUGUGCGGCACAAAGUGGUAUUGAGAGGGGGGCCAAUAUGUGACAUUGAUUGGUGGAAUAAUGGGGCUUCAAGAAGAGUUGAACACAAAGAGCGAGCGCCACAGACGAGUGUACCAAACGAAAGCUGCCUCCAUCCUCUUCAGGCACCAAAGGCCCACCUGGACAAAGCGAUGGGGGAGAGUGAACACAGUCGGGGGCGCAGUAGUUUGACUCCUGUUCUGUUUCCAACACUAAAUAUGUUGUUGGUCCAUUUAGAAAAAUGGACUCAAUUGUUUCUAAAACUCUGACUAGAACCAUGUGGAUCCGUCCCAGCAGGCAGCUGUAAGCCAUGUGUCAUCGUUAGGCAGUAAUAAUCAGAAUGAAUGUAUUCACAUUAACCUACUCACAACCAUAACUGUGUGUUACCUCCAACCCUGACAACAAAGGUCCUUUAACUUUAAAGCUAAGUCUAAAUCAUCUCUUUUGUGACUAGUUGUGACUAAAACCAACCUUGACCUCCUUCAUUCUACUAACCUCUGCCUGUGUUUCUCAUUUAAAGGCCUCCAGGCCAAAGGGCCUCAGUAGGGAGCAGUGUGUUUGCCAACCCAGCUACACCAGCAGCAAAUGCAUUUAGCCCGUCGCUACAUGUGUAGUCAAAGUUCCAGAGGUGUGUAAACGUGGUCUCCUCUGAGCCGCUUCCAGCUGUAGUUAACCUCGUCUGUCCUCCUGCUGCUGCGUCUCUCAGUCUAAUAGUGUGCGUCUGCGUUUUAGCCUUCCUUACACAGCGGUUCACUGUACAGGCU
RNAcentral lists this long non-coding RNA (1026 nucleotides) under Betta splendens (Siamese fighting fish). RNAcentral describes it as "lncRNA (ENSBSLG00000019469.1)". Lineage: Eukaryota; Metazoa; Chordata; Actinopteri; Anabantiformes; Osphronemidae. The record is from RNAcentral.